Molecule: ribosomal RNA, 478 nt
Filed under: Atya ortmannioides
Lineage: Eukaryota; Metazoa; Arthropoda; Malacostraca; Decapoda; Atyidae
Description: partial 16S ribosomal RNA
Rfam family: Bacterial large subunit ribosomal RNA
Source: RNAcentral
CAGUCUGGCCUGCCCCCUGAGAGUUUUAAAGGGCCGCGGUAUUUGAACCGUGCUAAGGUAGCAUAAUAAAUAGUCUUUUAAUUGAGGUCUAGUAUGAAUGGUCGGACAGGAGGUAAGCUGUCUUGGUUAUAUUUGUUGAAUUUUACUUUUAAGUGAAAAGGCUUAAAUUUUGUGAGGGGACGAUAAGACCCUAUAAAGCUUUACGUGUUGGCUUUUAAUUGUGAAUGAGUUAAGGUGUCUUUGUUUUGUGAGUUGAUGCGUUUCGUUGGGGCGACGGGAAUAUAAUUUGUAACUGUUUUUAUUGAAAAGAUAAAUAUAUUUAGAGAACUUGAUCCUUUUUAAAGAUUAAAAGAUUAAAGUUACUUUAGGGAUAACAGCGUAAUUCUUUUUGAGAGUUCAUAUCGACAAAAGUAGUUGCGACCUCGAUGUUGAAUUAAGGUGUUAUCAAGGUGUAGCAGUUUUGAUAGUGAGUUUGUUC